Molecule: ribosomal RNA, 301 nt
Filed under: uncultured bacterium
Lineage: Bacteria
Description: partial 16S ribosomal RNA
Rfam family: Bacterial small subunit ribosomal RNA
Source: RNAcentral
CAGCCGCCACGGUAAUACAGAGGGUGCGAGCGUUAAUCGGAUUUACUGGGCGUAAAGCGUGCGUAGGCGGCUUCUUAAGUCGGAUGUGAAAUCCCUGAGCUUAACUUAGGAAUUGCAUUCGAUACUGGGAAGCUAGAGUAUGGGAGAGGAUGGUAGAAUUCCAGGUGUAGCGGUGAAAUGCGUAGAGAUCUGGAGGAAUACCGAUGGCGAAGGCAGCCAUCUGGCCUAAUACUGACGCUGAGGUACGAAAGCAUGGGGAGAAAACAGGAUUAGAUACCCCAGUAGUCCCUGUCUCUUAUAA